UACGUAGGGCGCAAGCGUUGUCCGGAAUUAUUGGGCGUAAAGAGCUCGUAGGCGGUCCGUUGCGUCUGCCGUGAAAACCCGAGGCUUAACCUCGGGCCUGCGGUGGAUACGGGCGGACUAGAGGUAGGUAGGGGAGAACGGAAUUCCCGGUGUAGCGGUGAAAUGCGCAGAUAUCGGGAGGAACACCGGUGGCGAAGGCGGUUCUCUGGGCCUUACCUGACGCUGAGGAGCGAAAGCGUGGGGAGCGAACAGG
RNAcentral lists this ribosomal RNA (253 nucleotides) under uncultured bacterium. RNAcentral describes it as "partial 16S ribosomal RNA". It matches the Rfam family "Bacterial small subunit ribosomal RNA", at positions 524 to 776 of the family's 1533-position model. The record is from RNAcentral.